This 478-nucleotide long non-coding RNA is filed under the name Ananas comosus (pineapple). RNAcentral's name for it is "long non-coding RNA (ACOM_LNC001565)". Lineage: Eukaryota; Viridiplantae; Streptophyta; Magnoliopsida; Poales; Bromeliaceae. The record is from RNAcentral.
UAUUCAGUAACUUUAAAACAAUAAUUCUUCUAUUUUUAUCAUUAUAUUAUAAAUUUUUAUAUUAAUAUAUAAAAAAUUAAAAGAAUUAAAUUAUACAUUUUAAAAAUAAUUAAUUUUAUACAAGUCCCUGCAAACAUAGUAAAUUACAAAUACACCCCUACAAAGUUUAACUUUCAUAUAUUGUCUCCGCAAAAGUCUUAAUAUUUUCAAAUAUAUCCCUCUAGUUUGUUACCGUUAAAGUACCGUUUAUUUUAUAAGUAAAAUAAUCUUUUGUCAUCACAAAUAUGUUCCCAAUUGUUAAUUAAAAAGAUCAAUUCAUUUUAUUGACUAAUUAGAGUUAAAUAUUUAAACUAUGGUUAACUAAAUUUUUCUAACUGAUUCUAACGAUAGGAACAUAUUUGAAAUUAUCAUAACUUUUACAGAAAUAAUAUAUGAAAGUUGAACUUUUUAUAUAUAUAUAUAUAUAUAUAUAUAUAUA